GAGCAAACAGCCACAACCCAUCUUACGUCUGACAGAAGGGAAAAACAUUUGACUCUUUUCCAGGAUGAACUUGCUUGGCAUCUCACAGCAGGUAAAGCACUUGUAGGUGAUAUCAUUAAUUGCAGCUGCAGUCCUCUCUUGUAUCUGAUACGUUGCCCAGAUAUUCUCACUGACGCGUCUUGUUGGGAAACCAGAGCAGAACAACGGCAUCGUUUAUCUACUGCAGCACGUUGGUGGGUUCAGUCUUCUUGAGAGGACGAUAGCAGGACGCAGGAUGCAGCGGUGACUCUGGAGGACCCAGACAGCCUGAACAACUGCUGCGAGCAGGUGUUUCUCCUCUUCCUGAGCAGCUCGGAACUCUCUACAGAGUAAUUAACAAGAUACAUUUGCGCUGGGGGGGGUGGGGGUUAAGUAUGGAAAUUGUUUUCUUUGGGCGUCACAUUUUUAAUUGCAUUUUAAGAUUCAUGCAAGAUUCCUUUGACGGACGAAAGGUGAGGUCAUGGAUGCAGCGUCUACCAAGAGAGCCGCACUGCUCUGGACUCCUCGUGGUCAUUCAUCGCUCAUGUAUAUUUUGCAUGCAUGAAUAUGUGGAAGCCUAAAUCGAUUAAUAAUUCACUCCAGCUUGAAAAACGUGACAUGGCAUGAAUACAGUUUGUGUGUCAGAAAAAUAACUCCAAUGACCAAUGAUGAAUGAUGAAUGACCACCGGCACGCUAACUGUGUUAAGACCGGCUGCUGCUCCAGUGAUCGAGCCUUCUGAUUGGCUGGGUUCUGUUUGGGCAUUUAGCGGAUGGGUACACUGUGUAACAGCAUUAAUGUCAGCGAUGUUAUUGCUGCUACGCAGAUGUCUGGCCUCUGUGGUAAAGUACAGUUAUCUUGGCCUCAGGACACGGUGCUGUUGUUUAAGGUUUCUCGUUCAUCAGUCCUCGGUUUCCACGUGAAUCAUUUUAUGCUCCACACCUUGAAACUUUUGACCUCCUCCCUUCUCUUUGCCUUUCUUUACUUCAGGGCUCCGCAGUUCAAACACUACACACGCAGAAGGCUGCGAUUCUGAGUAACCGUGAAAUGCUUUAGAUUUGAGUCAGAUAUAAAAACGUGUUUGCCAGGAUGUUUUUUUUUUUCUCUCCGUGUCGGUGGGUGUGUGAGUGUUUGUAGUAUCCAUGAGUGUUUUACAGGGG
This is a long non-coding RNA of Gasterosteus aculeatus aculeatus (three-spined stickleback), 1177 nucleotides long. NCBI's taxonomy places the organism in Eukaryota, Metazoa, Chordata, Actinopteri, Perciformes, Gasterosteidae. The record is from Ensembl.